Molecule: long non-coding RNA, 1513 nt
Organism: Oncorhynchus tshawytscha (Chinook salmon)
Lineage: Eukaryota; Metazoa; Chordata; Actinopteri; Salmoniformes; Salmonidae
Source: Ensembl
AUUCCAUUCUCUCUCUCUCGUUUCCUCAGUUCCUCCAGUCUUCUUUCCCCUAUCGGUUGUUGCAGAUAUCUUUGGGUUCGCCAGUCUUAUCUAUUGUUCUCUCCCCAAAACCCAAAUAAAUACCUAGUGCAGAAACACAAGGUUAUGAAGAACGAUUUGAAAUCAAUGUAGCCUGGCUUGUCCCAGAUCUGUUUCUGCUCUCUUGCCAACUCGUUAUGGAAUUGUUAUGCCAAACAUAUUUGGCUUGACAAUGACAGCAAAAGGAGUUGGCAAGAGCACAACCAGAUCAGGGACCAGCCAGGCUAGGAAGAAAGUAUGAUGCCCACGUAACUGAAGGAAGGCCAAUGAACUACUGUGAGAAUUCCGUGAGGUGUGUGACAGACACGAGCUCACCCGGUCACAGACUUAGAUCACACAGUCCUAUCAGAGCCACUUUCCAAUGAAGAACUAGAACUUGUGGAAUGGACACAAGGGUUUAGCGUGAUAACAGUGGCAGUUAUCAAUCAAUGUAGCUGUUCAUUUCAACCCUGAACCUCUAAAGCUGCCUCGCAUGUUGAUCAAUAUCCAUCACUGAUGUCUGACUGGCUGUGGUCGCAGUGGAAACAUGACAGGCUGUGUCACCGUGGUAACUAGGACAGCUGUGGUGGCAGGCCGAUCAUCGGUGUGUAUGUCAACAGUCCCACGUGUUUGCCCCACACGGUCCCGUUGAGAGCCAGGCUGCUGUGUUGAGAAACCCUUGAGGGGGCUUUGUCAAAUUCUACCAGAGAGAGGAGACAUGCUGUUGGACUAUUAUUUGUCCUCUACCCCCUCUGGUUCUGAUACAAGGGCCCAGGCAGAGCUUCUCCGUGGAGGCCCAGGCAGAGCUUCUCCGUGGAGACCCAGGCAGAGCUUCUCCGUGGAGACUCAGGCAGAGCUUCUCCGUGGAGACCCAGGCAGAGCUUCUCCGUGGAGACCCAGGCAGAGCUUCUCCGUGGAGACCCAGGCAGAGCUUCUCCGUGGAGACCCAGGCAGAGCUUCUCCGUGGAGACCCAGGCAGAGCUUCUCCAUGGAGACCCAGGCAGAGUGUUGUGGACCUGGGUAGAGGAGGAUGUGUUGUCUGGCCUGGGGAUCACCUGGUUAGACAGUCAGUGGCACAUAAUGGGCAAAUAAAAAUGAUCUUACUUCAGUAAAUCCUGCCUGGUAUAGCAGAGAAUGGCCUAGUGACAGCAACUGUCACGUAAACCCAAUUGGCGCUCAUCAAUGGAUCAGCUAGCCCAUUAGACUGGAUGGACUAGAAAUCUCUUCAUUCUGCCCAUAAAAGGGGGUGGUGGGGUGGAUCCGGGGGCAGAUAGAGAGAGCGAUGGGUUUAUCUAUGAGAGCUUUGUGUGUCAGCAGACAUGGCCAUGAAUGCUACCAAUUGUUUCCCCCAGCAGACUGCAGAGGCUGCAGCUCCUACACACUCUCUGGGAUGGAGUUCCUUUGGAGUCGUUAAUGAACUGAACAGACCACUUUACGCAUCUCUCAAAGAGUCCCA